This 468-nucleotide ribosomal RNA is filed under the name uncultured bacterium. RNAcentral's name for it is "partial 16S ribosomal RNA". It matches the Rfam family "Bacterial small subunit ribosomal RNA", at positions 28 to 507 of the family's 1533-position model. The record is from RNAcentral.
GACGAACGCUGGCGGCGUGCUUAACACAUGCAAGUCGAACGGAAAGGCCCUGCUUUUGUGGGGUGCUCGAGUGGCGAACGGGUGAGUAACACGUGAGUAACCUGCCCUUGACUUUGGGAUAACUUCAGGAAACUGGGGCUAAUACCGGAUAGGAGCUCCUGCUGCAUGGUGGGGGUUGGAAAGUUUCGGCGGUUGGGGAUGGACUCGCGGCUUAUCAGCUUGUUGGUGGGGUAGUGGCUUACCAAGGCUUUGACGGGUAGCCGGCCUGAGAGGGUGACCGGCCACAUUGGGACUGAGAUACGGCACAGACUCCUACGGGAGGCAGCAGUGGGGAAUAUUGCACAAUGGGCGGAAGCCUGAUGCAGCAACGCCGCGUGCGGGAUAACGGCCUUCGGGUUGUAAACCGCUUUCGCCUGUGACGAAGCGUGAGUGACGGUAAUGGGUAAAGAAGCACCGGCUAACUACGUG